RNAcentral lists this ribosomal RNA (422 nucleotides) under uncultured soil bacterium. RNAcentral's name for it is "bacterial SSU rRNA". It matches the Rfam family "Bacterial small subunit ribosomal RNA", at positions 27 to 451 of the family's 1533-position model. The record is from RNAcentral.
GGGACGAACGCUGGCGGCGUGCUUAACACAUGCAAGUCGAACGGUGAAGGAGAGCUUGCUCUCUGGAUCAGUGGCGAACGGGUGAGUAACACGUGAGUAACCUGCCCUUGACUCUGGGAUAAGCGUUGGAAACGACGUCUAAUACCGGAUACGAGCUUCAGUCGCAUGGCUAGGAGCUGGAAAGAAUUUCGGUCAAGGAUGGACUCGCGGCCUAUCAGCUAGUGGUGAGGUAAUGGCUCACCAAGGCGACGACGGGUAGCCGGCCUGAGAGGGUGACCGGCACACUGGGACUGAGACACGGCCCAGACUCCUACGGGAGGCAGCAGGUGGGAAUAUUGCACGAAUGGGCGCAAGCCUGAUGCAGCAACGCCGCGUGGGGGACGAGGCCUUCGGUUGUAAACCGUCGUUUAGUAGGAAGAAGG